Molecule: long non-coding RNA, 702 nt
Organism: Arachis ipaensis
Lineage: Eukaryota; Viridiplantae; Streptophyta; Magnoliopsida; Fabales; Fabaceae
Source: RefSeq, a predicted model, not a curated record
UACCAAACCUUUUUUUACAACUUAGCUUCUCCUCGAACCAUGAUGUUUAAUUUCUCCCUAGGACUAUUUUCUGUCUAGUGAGGAAAGGAGCUGAAUUAGAUCUUGAAGGGACAAGUGCCAACCCACUUUGUUUCUGAACUCAUGAAGACAUGAACUUGGCUAUGUUUUUAGCCUUCAUCAUCUGCUUCAUUCUCUGAGUGAGUUCAUUGGAGGCUAUGGCAGCAGAGAAUGGCACAGUUGAUGAUAAGGAGAUGAUCAUGACCACCAAGAACUUGGGAUCUUCCAUCUCAUCAAAUUCAUUCACAACAAUGAUAUAUAUGGUGCAGCUCCUGUUUGUGUUGUUGGAUUUGACAACACAUUUAUAUGGUUAUGAACUGAUCAAGUCAUGGGAUCAAGAAAAUAUUAUAGACCCUCUUGUACUGGACAAGGAUCUCAAAUCCAACAAUUGAUGAUUCCUUGUUGCUUAUGAGAUCCUAUAUAUGUUCUUGUACUGCUCCUCAUCAAGAGAGUUCCCCUUCUCAACUUCAAAAUAUUGGACACUGUUUUAAUUAUAUUAAUUAAUUAAUCGUUUUCUUAGCAUUAAGCCUCUUUUUGAACGAAUUCCACCCUUGUCGUAAUACUAGUUAGUACACUACAUGAGUUGCUAUGCCGCAUAUAUAAUGUAAUAAAUUGAAGUUUAUUAAUGUUCUUUCUUGCAUAACA